RNAcentral lists this ribosomal RNA (465 nucleotides) under uncultured bacterium. RNAcentral describes it as "partial 16S ribosomal RNA". It matches the Rfam family "Bacterial small subunit ribosomal RNA", at positions 338 to 795 of the family's 1533-position model. The record is from RNAcentral.
CCUACGGGCGGCUGCAGUGGGGAAUAUUGCGCAAUGGGCGAAAGCCUGACGCAGCGACGCCGCGUGAGGGAUGAAGGUCUUCGGAUCGUAAACCUCUGUCAGCAGGGAAGAACGGUCACUGUGCUAAUCAGCAGUGCAUUGACGGUACCUGCAAAGGAAGCACCGGCUAACUCCGUGCCAGAAGCUGCGGUAAUACGGAGGGUGCGAGCGUUAAUCGGAAUUACUGGGCGUAAAGCGGUCGUAGGCGGUAUGUCAAGUCAAGGGUGAAAUCCCCGCGCGCAACGUGGGAACUGCCUUUGAAACUGACAAACUGGAGUGUGGGAGAGGAUAGUGGAAUUCCAGGGGUAGGAGUGAAAUCCGUAGAUAGCAGGAGGAACAUCAGUGGCGAAGGCGACUAUCUGGCACAUAACUGACGCUGAGGAGCGAAAGCGUGGGUAGCAAACAGGAUUAGAUACCCCAGUAGUC